Small nucleolar RNA from Vicugna pacos (alpaca), 75 nucleotides. The record is from Ensembl. NCBI's taxonomy places the organism in Eukaryota, Metazoa, Chordata, Mammalia, Artiodactyla, Camelidae.
CGGCCCAGUGACGACGACUGAUGGCAUAUGAGGCAUGGAUGAUGAAUACUGUGUGUCUGAAACUCUGAGGUCCAA